CGCGAAUAGCUCAUUACAACAGCUAUAAUUUACCAGUUGUUCAAUCUUAAACGGAUAACUGCGGUAAUUCUGGAGCUAAUACGUGCGGAAAGCCCAAUUUCUUUGAAGUUGGGUGCAUUUAUUGGUGCAAAACUAGUCAUUUGACUUUUUGCUUAAUCUGGAUAACCGAGCAUAUCGCAUGGUCUUGUACCGGCGAAGUUUCUGUCAAGUAUCUGCCUUAUCAACUGUCGUUGGUGCUGUAUUGGAGUACCAUGGUAUUAACGAGUAACGGAGGAUCAGGGUUUGACUCCGGAGAGGGAGCCUUAGAAACGGCUACCAUGUCUAAGGAUAGCAGCAGGCGCGAAAAUUACCCAAUGUCAAAACGACGAGGUAGUGACGAGAAAUAACAAGAUCGUUCUCAUUGAGGUCGGUCAUUGGAAUGAGUACAAUCCAGAAACUUUAACGAGUAUCUACGAGAGGGCAAGUCUGGUGCCAGCAGCCGCGGUAAUUCCAGCUCUCGUAAGGUAUAGAAUUAUUGCUGUGGUUAAAAAGUUCGUAGUUGGAUGGUUAUGAUUGUACGGGUCUGCCAUUUUGGUUAGUACUCGUUACUUUCAGUUUGUGUGUUCUUGUGCGUUGUUUGCUUGCAUUCAGCGUGCGCCACACAGGAUUACUUUGAACGGCUCAAGUGCUCAAAGCACGUCUUAUGACUGAAUACCGGUGCAUGGAAUAAUGGAACAAGGCUUCGGCCGGGUUUUACUGGUUUUGCCGGCUGAAUCAAUGGUUAACAGGAACAGCCGGGGGCAUUCGUAUCGUUACGCGAGAGGUGAAAUUCGUGGACCGUAGCGAGACGCCCGACAGCGAAGGCACUUGCCAAGAGUGUUUUCAUUAAUCAAGAACGAAAGUCAGAGGUUCGAAGGCGAUCAGAUACCGCCC
Molecule: ribosomal RNA, 912 nt
Filed under: Ektaphelenchus taiwanensis
Lineage: Eukaryota; Metazoa; Nematoda; Chromadorea; Rhabditida; Aphelenchoididae
Description: bacterial SSU rRNA
Rfam family: Eukaryotic small subunit ribosomal RNA
Source: RNAcentral